CGUUUAGGGGUAAACCUGAGAAACCCGAAAGGUCGAAGGAAGAAAUUCAUCGCGUUAUCGAUGCUGACGUUGAAUGUAUAGCAUGACAAAUGACGUUUUAACGUUGAUUGCAUCUGUCAUUUUUCGAUUUAGCAACGAACGUGUGCACUUUUCUUCUGGUAGAACGUCGCGAUCCGUUGGGUGUCGGUCUACGAUUUGCAUUGGAGAUCAAAUGAUCCACGCUUUUGUGUGGAACCGUUUGAACUUGCAUUUCUCCGACCGACUCGCUUGACGGUAUAAGAACGGUUUAGGGCCGCUCUCUUUUAUGAGAAGCGUUCGACUCUGGGCAAGCGCGUCAGUUGUUUCGAUGAUUGGACUUAGUGCUGAUCCCGAUCACUGGUGACUGUUGGCCCAGAUGUUCUCGAACCGACCCCGAAAAUGUUUAAAAACCGAUCUGCGGCGCUAUAGCUUUGGGUACUUUCAGGACCCGUCUUGAAACACGGACCAAGGAGUCUAGCAUGUACGCAAGUCAUUGGGACUAAUUAAACCUAAGGGCAAAAUGAAAGUAAAGAUUUUCCUUGCGAGAAUCUAGGGAGGACGAGUGGUUUCACAUUUAAAAACCGUUUUGCACUCCCGGGGCGUCUCAUUCUCAUUGCGAGAAGAGGCGCACCAAGAGCGUACACGCUGGGACCCGAAAGAUGGUGAACUAUGCCUGGUCAGGAUGAAGUCAGGGGAAACCCUGAUGGAGGUCCGUAGCGAUUCUGACGUGCAAAUCGAUCGUCGGAACUGGGUAUAGGGGCGAAAGACUAAUCGAACAUC
This 798-nucleotide ribosomal RNA is filed under the name Scolytoplatypus hova. Its description in RNAcentral is "eukaryotic LSU rRNA". It matches the Rfam family "Eukaryotic large subunit ribosomal RNA", at positions 406 to 944 of the family's 3401-position model. The record is from RNAcentral. Lineage: Eukaryota; Metazoa; Arthropoda; Insecta; Coleoptera; Curculionidae.